This 25-nucleotide non-coding RNA is filed under the name Cricetulus griseus (Chinese hamster). Lineage: Eukaryota; Metazoa; Chordata; Mammalia; Rodentia; Cricetidae. The record is from RNAcentral.
AGGGACAAUAGAAUGCCAGUGUGCA